Gadus chalcogrammus (walleye pollock) is the source of this 792-nucleotide long non-coding RNA. RefSeq lists it as uncharacterized. The transcript is spliced from 3 exons. The record is from RefSeq and is a predicted model, not a curated record. NCBI's taxonomy places the organism in Eukaryota, Metazoa, Chordata, Actinopteri, Gadiformes, Gadidae.
CUAAUAUGGUCCCGACAAUAAUUGCUUACGGCCGUCUGAGUCCAUAAUACUGCGCGCUUUUCUGCCUAGUGAUUUGCACACGCACACUGCACCACGACAUUGCACCACAUAAAACACACAUUACAAAACCAACAGUUAUUUUAAGGAACUCCUGUCUGUCUUUCUGUCUGACUGAAUGUCUAUGUCCUGAUUUUCUCUGGUCAGGUAGGUUCACUGCAAUGCUUAAAAAAAAUCAUAUUUCAAAUCCAGGUUUAUAAAAACAGUAACUAAUGCGCUGUAUUUGUGUGUGUUUCUACCCUCGAGUAUGUCUGAGAGAAAUAAAGAAGGUGUCCCACUGCGGUACCCCCCGCUACAUGGAGCCCCACAUCCUGAGCUGGAGGCCUCUCAUGCUCUCCAUGGUCAAGCUCAGGCUGAUUUACUUCCUCUUCCUGAGGCCAUCCCUGAUGACGUCACUGUGGUAAAAGAUAUCAAAAUGUCAGUGUCAAUUUCAGAUGGUAAAAGUUAUGUUUUAGCAGGGGUUUAAGUGAUGCUGUGCCUUUUAAUGUUUAUUCUUUUCCCCUCUGAUAUUAUUAGACACAUAAGUAUACUUUUUGAUCGUGAUACACCAAACAUUAAUAACAUCACCAACAGUGAACUGUUCCACUGUCCCUUCUGUAAAUGCGUGGGUGCAAAAUAUAAGGUUGACAACCAUGUAAAAGGCCAUUGGUCAGUGAAACACAAAGGUGCUUAUCUAAAAUAUUACAGAAAUGAAUUAAUUUGUAUUAUAAGUAUAUAUAUAAGUAUGAAUCUUAC